Molecule: ribosomal RNA, 465 nt
Filed under: Vreelandella stevensii
Lineage: Bacteria; Pseudomonadati; Pseudomonadota; Gammaproteobacteria; Oceanospirillales; Halomonadaceae
Description: partial 16S ribosomal RNA
Rfam family: Bacterial small subunit ribosomal RNA
Source: RNAcentral
CCUACGGGGGGCUGCAGUGGGGAAUAUUGGACAAUGGGGGCAACCCUGAUCCAGCCAUGCCGCGUGUGUGAAGAAGGCCCUCGGGUUGUAAAGCACUUUCAGUGAGGAAGGACGCCUGGUGGUUAAUACCCAUCAGGAAAGACAUCACUCACAGAAGAAGCACCGGCUAACUCCGUGCCAGCAGCCGCGGUAAUACGGAGGGUGCGAGCGUUAAUCGGAAUUACUGGGCGUAAAGCGCGCGUAGGUGGCUUGAUAAGCCGGUUGUGAAAGCCCCGGGCUCAACCUGGGAACGGCAUCCGGAACUGUCAAGCUAGAGUGCAGGAGAGGAAGGUAGAAGUCCCGGUGUAGCGGUGAAAUGCGUAGAGAUCGGGAGGAAUACCAGUGGCGAAGGCGGCCUUCUGGACUGACACUGACACUGAGGUGCGAAAGCGUGGGUAGCAAACAGGAUUAGAUACCCCGGUAGUC